RNAcentral lists this ribosomal RNA (468 nucleotides) under uncultured bacterium. Its description in RNAcentral is "partial 16S ribosomal RNA". It matches the Rfam family "Bacterial small subunit ribosomal RNA", at positions 28 to 507 of the family's 1533-position model. The record is from RNAcentral.
GACGAACGCUGGCGGCGUGCUUAACACAUGCAAGUCGAACGGAAAGGCCCUGCUUUUGUGGGGUGCUCGAGUGGCGAACGGGUGAGUAACACGUGAGUAACCUGCCCUUGACUUUGGGAUAACUUCAGGAAACUGGGGCUAAUACCGGAUAGGAGCUCCUGCUGCAUGGUGGGGGUUGGAAAGUUUCGGCGGUUGGGGAUGGACUCGCGGCUUAUCCGCUUGUUGGUGGGGUAGUGGCUUACCAAGGCUUUGACGGGUAGCCGGCCUGGGAGGGUGACCGGGCACAUUGGGACUGAGGGAGGGCCCAGAAUCCAACGGGAGGCAGCAGGGGGGAGUAUUGCACAGUGGGCGGAAGCCUGAUGCGGCAGCGCCGCGUGCGGGAUGACGGCCUUCGGGUUGAAAACCGCUUUCGCCUGUGACGAAGCGUGAGUGACGGUAAUGGGUAAAGAAGCACCGGCUAACUACGUG